This 273-nucleotide unclassified non-coding RNA is filed under the name soil metagenome. RNAcentral describes it as "partial contains small subunit ribosomal RNA and internal transcribed spacer 1". The record is from RNAcentral.
UCUCCGUAGGUGAACCUGCGGAGGGAUCAUUACCAAAAAAACACACACAAGCCAUGUCCCCGCACUCCUCUCUCUCUCUCUUGGGGGAGGGGAAAUGCGAGGGCGUGACUUAUGUACAUCCAAACCCUGUGAAACACAAUCAAUGUUUAUUUGUAGAGGGUGGCACUUUACCGCCACAACCUUCUACAAACCAACACACAACCCCUCAACCUUUAUUUGAAACCAACAACAAAACAAAAAUCAAAACUCCAAACAGUGGAUGUCUUGGUUCUC